GUGGGGAAUCUUGCGCAAUGGGCGAAAGCCUGACGCAGCCAUGCCGCGUGAAUGAUGAAGGUCUUAGGAUUGUAAAAUUCUUUCACCGGGGACGAUAAUGACGGUACCCGGAGAAGAAGCCCCGGCUAACUUCGUGCCAGCAGCCGCGGUAAUACGAAGGGGGCUAGCGUUGCUCGGAAUUACUGGGCGUAAAGGGCGCGUAGGCGGACAGUUUAGUCAGAGGUGAAAGCCCAGGGCUCAACCUUGGAAUUGCCUUUGAUACUGUCUGUCUUGAGUACGGGAGAGGUGAGUGGAACUCCGGGUGUAGAGGUGAAAUUCGUAGAUAGUCGGAAGAACACCAGUGGCGAAGGCGACUCACUGGCCCGUUACUGACGCUGAGGCGCGAAAGCGUGGGGAGCAAACAGGAUUAGAAACCCUGGUAGUCC
Molecule: ribosomal RNA, 425 nt
Filed under: uncultured bacterium
Lineage: Bacteria
Description: partial 16S ribosomal RNA
Rfam family: Bacterial small subunit ribosomal RNA
Source: RNAcentral